UGUGAAAACCCAGGCUAAUCGCACGCAGGCUGCCCACUUGGCAGCAGCGAGGUGGCUCCUUGGAGGAGCCCCGGACGCCUGACACAGGGAGGCAUUCAGAGCCCUUCUUGGAAGUGCCAUGCACAUCUGAUUUAUUGUUUUCCAGCUGCCUCAGAGCUGGCUAAUUCGGGAUGCCCGCUCCUUGCUGCACACAACCCCACAAAUGAUGGCUGUAAACCGCCUGCCCCACCGCCUCCAAAAUCAGCUCGCCUUCUGCUCCUCCUGCCUGCCUGGUCAAUAGCCAGCAUGGCCCUCUCGCUCCAAAGCACAUCUGGAUUCAUAGAUUUGAACCUUUUGAUCCUGGAAAUGUAGCAGCUCCAGACAAGCCUUCCUUUGCAAUUGGCUCUGUGCAGAUUCCUCGCCCGAUUUGAAUGAGAAAGGUGAGGCUCUGUGCUGUUGAAAUGGACAAGCAAAUGUUCAAAACCAUUUUAAACAGUGGGCCAGUAUUGUUUGCCCUGAAGCUUAAGUGGAUGUGUUGUGUUUUUUUUCCUUUUUCUUUCCCUGAAACACAAGUUAUCCGCGGGCUCAACAAACCAACAUGCGGCUCCUGACAAUAACAGGGUAUCGCUCAGCCAGUUUGUAGGGCUGCCAAAGGGACUCUUCUGCUUCCCUGCCUGGUGGGUUGGCUUGGGCUUUUUGUUGCUUUUAAACGGCAUGAUAUUUUUAAAGUUAUUAGGGCAUUAAUGCUGCUUUUUAAUGAAUAAUGCUUUAUAAAACUACUGAUAAGGCAUUAACAGUAAGUUUACCUCUCAAUGCGAGUUAUUUUUUUUUCUAUUUUACUAUCCAUUGCUUCAUUAAAUCAACACUGGAAAAGACUAGCCUUGCCGAAUUUCUCACUGCACAUUCAACUGUUUGCCCAUGACAGUAUUUGAAUGUGCUUAUUAUUUCUAGUAAAGCCCUUAUCAUUUUCACUGUGAAAUUUAAAUCACCCUGAUCCAACUCUUCUUAGCUAAAGUCAGCUUUAUCAACCACAAGAGAUGUGGGAUUUUAAAAAGAUCUGAGUAAAUUCACAUUGUUUGGAUAAACUCAUUCAGGGGGUUCAGCAAAUGAAAGCUGAAAUAGAUAUGUAUUCCAAGGAGGCUGUGGACUGCUCAAAAACAAAGAAGUUAAAGCAUAAUUUAAAAAGAAAGAAAAAAAGCAAAGAAGGGGAAAAAAAAAAAAAGUUAAUGGUAUCAGUGUCGUUUUAAUGAGGGCAUUCACAACCCAGGCUUUGAAUUGGUAUUUCUGCGCCUCCACAAUAAUUCAGGUGAAAAGUAAAACAAAACAAAACCCAACAAACCAUAAAACUGUUUACGCAGAAAUAAAAUUGUUCUCUCCAAUUUACCCUGCUAUGUCGUCUGGUCAGUGUUGUGCUACCAAAAACGUUAAGGACUGCAUUUAUGCAUUAUCCCACAAUUUAAGUAACUGUGUAUCAUGUAUAUUUAAAACCAUCUCUCUGUAGUUUUAAUUAUCUCAGUCUGCAGGGACAAAAUGCAGCUCCCAUGCCUGAGCCCGAAAUGAAAGUGCUGCACGCUGACAGCUAAGAUGUCUGUCCUAGCUUGUUGAGAUUUCCUGUAAAAUUUGCAUUGAAAAGGCAGCUUUAAAUAUACUUAAAAUAAAAAGAGCAUUUGCAUCUAAUUUGCUACACUUGCAGUAUUAAAGUUUUAUCUGAAUAAAGACAUGUCAAAUGGAUUUAUAUAGUUAAGCUGAUAGCUUUUAAAGUCAACACAGUAACAUCAGCUAAAUUCAACAAAGUAAUGGCAGCAGCUAAUGGCAUUUAUUAGUUUAUCAUCAUUUACUUAAAAACCAUAACACAGAUCAUUUUAUUUUCACAUUACUGUUUGUGAUUCUUUGACUCAGUUUGUAUUGAUUCCACAAAUUAUGGCAGAAACUGACAUUUAUCUAACAGUUUUCCAAGCUCUGAAUGUUGGCUUUAGUGGGAAGCAAUUGAACUCUUGCCACACAAUGGUUUGAGCUAUGCUAGAAACAACCAUCUUCAAAUAAACACGUUUGGCAACCAUUUUAAAAUACGAUUGUUGCUUCUCUGAGGAUGACAGAAGGGUUUUUGUUACUGAUAAGG
Non-coding RNA from Anas platyrhynchos (mallard), 2098 nucleotides. The record is from RefSeq and is a predicted model, not a curated record. NCBI's taxonomy places the organism in Eukaryota, Metazoa, Chordata, Aves, Anseriformes, Anatidae.